RNAcentral lists this ribosomal RNA (253 nucleotides) under uncultured bacterium. RNAcentral describes it as "partial 16S ribosomal RNA". It matches the Rfam family "Bacterial small subunit ribosomal RNA", at positions 524 to 776 of the family's 1533-position model. The record is from RNAcentral.
UACGGGGGGGGUAAGCGUUGUUCGGAAUUACUGGGCGUAAAGGGCUCGUAGGCGGCCAACUAAGUCAUACGUGAAAUCCCUCAGCUUAACUGGGGAACUGCGUGUGAUACUGGAUGGCUUGGAUUUGGGAGAGGGAUGCGGAAUUCCAGGUGUAGCGGUGAAAUGCGUAGAUAUCUGGAGGAACACCGGUGGCGAAGGCGGCAUCCUGGACCAAUAUUGACGCUGAGGAGCGAAAGCCAGGGGAGCAGACGGG